UGUAGACCUCCACGUUGUCAGUUGAUCCGAGUCACCACUCCCUGACCCUUCCCUAUAUAAAACCCAUCCUCAAUCCAAUCCAUUAGACCAUCAUCGAGUCUCACCAGACCAGAAGCUCACUAAAACAUUUUUCGCCAUUUCUCUCACCUUCGCUGUCGACGAUCUGCGCACCGGAAAAUGAAUAUUCCGGUGAAGGUCUCAUCCUUAAAAACACCUGCUGCCCAUAUCUCCGAUCAUCGCAGUCACGUUUUCCACGAAACCAACCUGCCUUUUUUGUCUUAGUGCGAAAAGCUAUUCCAUUCUUCUUCGCAAAGAUAAUUCCAGAAGAAGAGGGAGAAGGUGGAGAGCUCGUGGUGUCUCGAAAAUUGCUCAAGUCACACGUUGCAUUGUGGCAAAUAGGUCUUUGAAGCAAAUGCCCGACAUUUUUCGCCAUAUCCCACCAUCAUUGUGGUUGGUGCACUGGUAAUGCUAUGUAUUUUAUUUCAUUGUAAUACAUUAAGAUUAUAAUUUUAGGGUCUGCUGCAAGGUUAUUUUUCUA
Molecule: long non-coding RNA, 538 nt
Organism: Carya illinoinensis
Lineage: Eukaryota; Viridiplantae; Streptophyta; Magnoliopsida; Fagales; Juglandaceae
Exons: 2
Source: RefSeq, a predicted model, not a curated record